Ficedula albicollis (Collared flycatcher) is the source of this 823-nucleotide long non-coding RNA. RefSeq lists it as uncharacterized. The record is from RefSeq and is a predicted model, not a curated record. The transcript is spliced from 3 exons. NCBI's taxonomy places the organism in Eukaryota, Metazoa, Chordata, Aves, Passeriformes, Muscicapidae.
AGAAAGCGCCGCGGCUCCGGCAGGAGCAGUCACAAGAGACUCUGCUCAGGGCGCACUCUGGGUCCAACCCCCACUUUUUUUGGGGCUCCCUGUGGUCACUCGUGACCUUCCCAGCGCUGCUGAUGGUUUAAUCCAGCUCGACCGGGCACAGCUGCUGGCCAGGAAAAUGGGCCAGGAGGGGGUGAGAGUUCAGCGCUGGAGCUUUGGCAGGAAGGCGGCUCCGGGGAGGAAGCUCCAAACGACGCCUUUCCUGAGAAGUGCAAACGAGAUUUUCAUGAACUUUUCCAGCGAAACUCGGCUCGGGAAGCGCCGGAUCCGCGUUAAAUCAACAAAGGCGGAGGCUCCGCACGUGGGGGGAGCUCCGAGAGCUCCUCACUCUCAGCUGACGGUCACGGGCAGCCUCCAAAAUUUGCUAUUUUUGCCUGAGCUGGAGCCUAAAAAGAAUAUUUUGCCCCCCUGGCAGUGCCCAGUGCGCGGUGCUGGGGAUUUUUUUGUCUCCUCUUCCCCUCUCCCAACCCCGUUUGUGGCCCCGUGGCUCAGCCCGGGUGGAAUUUGGCUCCCAGCUCGGUGAUUUGGCUACCACAGGUUCAAACAGAUUUCUGCCUCCCUCCCCCCGCCUUCAGGUGGUUGACUUUUAUUAAAAGCUUUUUAAUCUUUGAUAUCAACAGGAAAAUCAUUUCCUCACCUACCUCUGGCUUUUGCCAGCUCUGAGAGGCUUUUUAGCAGCUUUUGGAGCUGUUUGUUGGGGUUACAAAUGCAAAAUAUAUUUAUUUUUGUGCCUCUAUUUAAAUAUUUCCUCCCAAAUGAAUCGAUGUGGGGACUG